ACGCGAGGAACCUUACCAGGUCUUGACAUCCCAUUGACCGCUAUGGAGACAUAGCUUUCCCUUCGGGGACAGUGGUGACAGGUGGUGCAUGGUUGUCGUCAGCUCGUGUCGUGAGAUGUUGGGUUAAGUCCCGCAACGAGCGCAACCCUUGAUCUUAGUUGCCAGCAUUUAGUUGGGCACUCUAAGGAGACUGCCGGUGACAAACCGGAGGAAGGUGGGGAUGAUGUCAAAUCAUCAUGCCCCUUAUGACCUGGGCUACACACGUGCUACAAUGGACGGUACAAACGGUUGCCAACCCGCGAGGGGGAGCUAAUCCGAUAAAACCGUUCUCAGUUCGGAUUGUAGGCUGCAACUCGCCUACAUGAAGCCGGAAUCGCUAGUAAUCGCGGAUCAGCAUGCCGCGGUGAAUACGUUCCCGGGCCUUGCACACACCGCCCGU
RNAcentral lists this ribosomal RNA (439 nucleotides) under uncultured bacterium. Its description in RNAcentral is "bacterial SSU rRNA". It matches the Rfam family "Bacterial small subunit ribosomal RNA", at positions 959 to 1397 of the family's 1533-position model. The record is from RNAcentral.